Molecule: ribosomal RNA, 1343 nt
Filed under: uncultured bacterium
Lineage: Bacteria
Description: 16S ribosomal RNA
Rfam family: Bacterial small subunit ribosomal RNA
Source: RNAcentral
GACGAACGCUGGCGGCGUGCUUAACACAUGCAAGUCGAACGGAAAGGCCCUGCUUUUGUGGGGUGCUCGAGUGGCGAACGGGUGAGUAACACGUGAGUAACCUGCCCUUGACUUUGGGAUAACUUCAGGAAACUGGGGCUAAUACCGGAUAGGAGCUCCUGCUGCAUGGUGGGGGUUGGAAAGUUUCGGCGGUUGGGGAUGGACUCGCGGCUUAUCAGCUUGUUGGUGGGGUAGUGGCUUACCAAGGCUUUGACGGGUAGCCGGCCUGAGAGGGUGACCGGCCACAUUGGGACUGAGAUACGGCCCAGACUCCUACGGGAGGCAGCAGUGGGGAAUAUUGCACAAUGGGCGGAAGCCUGAUGCAGCAACGCCGCGUGCGGGAUGACGGCCUUCGGGUUGUAAACCGCUUUCGCCUGUGACGAAGCGUGAGUGACGGUAAUGGGUAAAGAAGCACCGGCUAACUACGUGCCAGCAGCCGCGGUGAUACGUAGGGUGCGAGCGUUGUCCGGAUUUAUUGGGCGUAAAGGGCUCGUAGGUGGUUGAUCGCGUCGGAAGUGUAAUCUUGGGGCUUAACCCUGAGCGUGCUUUCGAUACGGGUUGACUUGAGGAAGGUAGGGGAGAAUGGAAUUCCUGGUGGAGCGGUGGAAUGCGCAGAUAUCAGGAGGAACACCAGUGGCGAAGGCGGUUCUCUGGGCCUUUCCUGACGCUGAGGAGCGAAAGCGUGGGGAGCGAACAGGCUUAGAUACCCUGGUAGUCCACGCUGUAAACGGUGGGUACUAGGUGUGGGGUCCAUUCCACGGGUUCCGUGCCGUAGCUAACGCUUUAAGUACCCCGCCUGGGGAGUACGGCCGCAAGGCUAAAACUCAAAGGAAUUGACGGGGCUCCGCACAAGCGGCGGAGCAUGCGGAUUAAUUCGAUGCAACGCGUAGAACCUUACCUGGGUUUGACAUGGAUCGGGAGCGCUCAGAGAUGGGUGUGCCUCUUUUGGGGUCGGUUCACAGGUGGUGCAUGGCUGUCGUCAGCUCGUGUCGUGAGAUGUUGGGUUAAGUCCCGCAACGAGCGCAACCCUUGUUCACUGUUGCCAGCACGUUAUGGUGGGGACUCAGUGGAGACCGCCGGGGUCAACUCGGAGGAAGGUGGGGAUGACGUCAAGUCAUCAUGCCCCUUAUGUCCAGGGCUUCACGCAUGCUACAAUGGCUGGUACAGAGAGUGGCGAGCCUGUGAGGGUGAGCGAAUCUCGGAAAGCCGGUCUCAGUUCGGAUUGGGGUCUGCAACUCGACCUCAUGAAGUCGGAGUCGCUAGUAAUCGCAGAUCAGCAACGCUGCGGUGAAUACGUUCCCGGG